RNAcentral lists this ribosomal RNA (440 nucleotides) under uncultured bacterium. RNAcentral's name for it is "partial 16S ribosomal RNA". It matches the Rfam family "Bacterial small subunit ribosomal RNA", at positions 338 to 795 of the family's 1533-position model. The record is from RNAcentral.
CCUACGGGUGGCUGCAGUGGGGAAUAUUGGACAAUGGGGGGAACCCUGAUCCAGCGACGCCGCGUGAGUGAAGAAGUAUUUCGGUAUGUAAAGCUCUAUCAGCAGGAAAGAAAAUGACGGUCCCUGACUAAGAAGCCCCGGCUAACUACGUGCCAGCAGCCGCGGUAAUACGUAGGGGGCAAGCGUUAUCCGGAUUUACUGGGUGUAAAGGGAGCGUAGACGGUUGUGCAAGUCUGAAGUGAAAUGCCGGGGCACAACCCGGGAACUGCUUUGGAAACUGUGAAGCUGGAGUGCAGGAGAGGUAAGCGGAAUGCCUGGUGUAGCGGUGAAAUGCGUAGAGAUUAGGAGGAACAUCGGCGGCGAAGGCGGCUUACUGGACUGUAACUGACGUUGAGGCUCGAAGGCGUGGGGAGCAAACAGGAUUAGAUACCCCUGUAGUC